RNAcentral lists this ribosomal RNA (466 nucleotides) under uncultured bacterium. RNAcentral describes it as "partial 16S ribosomal RNA". It matches the Rfam family "Bacterial small subunit ribosomal RNA", at positions 28 to 507 of the family's 1533-position model. The record is from RNAcentral.
GAUGAACGCUGGCGGCGUGCUUAACACAUGCAAGUCGAACGAUGAAGCCCAGCUUGCUGGGUGGAUUAGUGGCGAACGGGUGAGUAACACGUGAGUAACCUGCCCUUAACUCUGGGAUAAGCCUGGGAAACUGGGUCUAAUACCGGAUAGGAGCGUCCACCGCAUGGUGGGUGUUGGAAAGAUUUAUCGGUUUUGGAUGGACUCGCGGCCUAUCAGCUUGUUGGUGAGGUAAUGGCUCACCAAGGCGACGACGGGUAGCCGGCCUGAGAGGGUGACCGGCCACACUGGGACUGAGACACGGCCCAGACUCCUACGGGAGGCAGCAGUGGGGAAUAUUGCACAAUGGGCGCAAGCCCGAUGCAGCGACGCCGCGUGAGGGAUGACGGCCUUCGGGUUGUAAACCUCUUUCAGUAGGGAAGAAGCGAAAGUGACGGUACCUGCAGAAGAAGCACCGGCUAACUACGUG